RNAcentral lists this ribosomal RNA (221 nucleotides) under uncultured bacterium. RNAcentral describes it as "partial 16S ribosomal RNA". It matches the Rfam family "Bacterial small subunit ribosomal RNA", at positions 524 to 743 of the family's 1533-position model. The record is from RNAcentral.
GACAGAGGGUGCAAACGUUGCUCGGAAUCACUGGGCGUAAAGGGCGUGUAGGCGGGUAGAUAAGUCGGGCGUGAAAUCCCUAGGCUCAACCUAGGAACUGCACUCGAAACUGUUUAUCUUGAGUGCCGGAGAGGAAAGCGGAAUUCCUGGUGUAGAGGUGAAAUUCGUAGAUAUCAGGAGGAACACCAGUGGCGAAGGCGGCUUUCUGGACGGGUAACUGA